GACGUAGGGGGCGAGCGUUGUCCGGAUUUAUUGGGCGUAAAGAGCGCGUAGGCGGCCCGUUAAGUCGGAUGUGAAAACCCGUGGCUCAACCACGGGCCUGCAUCCGAUACUGGCGGGCUCGAGGCAGGCAGGGGAGGUCGGAAUUCCUGGUGUAGCGGUGAAAUGCGCAGAUAUCAGGAGGAACACCGGUGGCGAAGGCGGAUCUCUGGGCCUGUCCUGACGCUCAGGCGCGAAAGCUAGGGGAGCAAACAGG
This 253-nucleotide ribosomal RNA is filed under the name uncultured bacterium. RNAcentral describes it as "partial 16S ribosomal RNA". It matches the Rfam family "Bacterial small subunit ribosomal RNA", at positions 524 to 776 of the family's 1533-position model. The record is from RNAcentral.